Apis cerana (Asiatic honeybee) is the source of this 6362-nucleotide long non-coding RNA. RefSeq lists it as uncharacterized. The record is from RefSeq and is a predicted model, not a curated record. NCBI's taxonomy places the organism in Eukaryota, Metazoa, Arthropoda, Insecta, Hymenoptera, Apidae.
CUAUAUCUUUAAUUAAAUUAAUUAUUAAAAGAAAUGAAUUUAAAUUCAUUAAAGAAUUUAUUAUACUUUAUAAAUACACAAAGCAUAUUUAACAUAUGAAUAUAAAACUUAUAAAUAUGCAUAUUAUAAGUUUAAUUUAUUGUAUUUAAAUUUCGUAUUUUCCUGCAUUCGUCAUAGCAUGUUCAUUCGUUGCAGCAGAUUUAACGAGAAAAACAACUCGCUAUAAUAUUCAUUGUAACAUCGUUCGUUAUAAAAUUCUCCACUCUGAUUUAUCCAUCAUAAAACAAACACUAAACUUUAUUUAAUACUUUAUUCAAACCGUUAAAUUUCCAAGCCAUUGCAACAAUAUUAUAUUACAAAACGAUUGCUUAAUAACUUCCUCUUCCUCUUUCUCUUAUGAAAAGCCAUUCACGAUUCACACAUCCUAAGCUUCGAUUCCAAGUAAUUUCUCUAAUUAUACUGAGAAUGCUGGUUACAUAUUAUUCAUCAAAGCGUGAAAGCAAUCGACGUUUGAAGCACAUAGGAAAGUGUACAUACAAGAUCAUCUCGUAUCUCUCAAAAUGAAAAUUCUAAUUAAUCCAUCGUCGCAUACCGGAAACCUUCCAAAAGUUAGAUAUCGCGUUUAAGUUUCAAGUAGAACAGUGAAAUUCGACUCCGUGGCGUGGAAUAAACGUAUCCUAGUCGGUGUUUCCGCUUCCGCCGCGUCGGCUCGAGUGUUAACGGGCGGCACGUUCAUCAUCAAUAACAAGCCCCAGGCAAGUGAGCCGGUCUCCUCCCUGCAUACUAAUACCGUGGUGAAACGUCAUCGCCUUGAACGCGCGAGUUCGUCAAUUGUGGAACGUCUCACAGCUCGAUUUCACUGUGGCGAACGAAACGAACCGAGCGACAAACCGGGAACUUCCCGUUGAUUUUCUUCCGAAACGACGACGUGACGCUCUGCUAAUUUUCAGCUAUAGUUGUCGAUCUGUGCUAAUUUUGAUGAAUUGUUAUGUCAUUGUGUUGAUGUUGACAUCGAUUUUUUAGAGGGAAUGUUAGUGUUUCGGAAAUUCAUUUAUUACGAAUUCAAAAUAAAAAAUCUGUCGGUAAUAACGGAAUUUAUAAAUAUUACCAUGUGAUUAGAUAGAAGAGGUGUUUGUGAUUUCAAGUUCGUGAUUAAUGAAGGAUAUCUGGACGUGUUUUUUAGAUUUAUAAUUAAUAUCGAAGACAAAUUAAUAAUGAAAUGGUUUUUAAUAUAGUAGUAUACAUAGUAAAUUGAUCUUUGAAAGCAAGUAAAAAGAUGUUUUGAAAUUAUGUAUUAAAACACAAAGAUCCAAAAUGAUUUAUUUUGAUAUAAUUUCUUUUUGAUUUUGUUUAAAUAUUAAUGUGCAUGCAAAAAUAAAUAAUUAGUAUAAAAUUAUAAAUUAUAGUUCAUUAUUUAUUAUUUUAUAAUUUAAUUCUAAAUGAAAUCUUAGCUAAUUUUUUGAUUAUUUACUAUUUUUUAAAAACUUAAUAAAUAAAAUCUCAAUUGACAAUUCUUUAUACUAACUUUUAUGUUUAUUUUAAUCUUUAGAAUCAAUUUUUAUCAAAUAACUGAAUAAAAAUAAUACUUUAAAUACUAAUACUAAUAUUUUCUACAAUAGUUCAUAUAAGUAUUUUGAAAUGAAUAUUUCAUUAAAAUAUGAAAUUAAUAAGAAACUAGUAUAAUAUUUAUUUUUUUAUAAUAAUUACUUCUAGAAAUAUUUUAAGCUUUAUUAUUAGUAUUAUUAAAUUUUUCUCAGAUCAGUUUGUAUGAUAUCAUGUUUUUUGUUUAUACAAAAUUGAUAAAUGCAUACAGAAUCAAAAAACAAUUGAUUAUAACGCUCUUAGCAAACCGUAAAAAAAAAAAAAGGAAAUAAAUCUCUUAACUUUUUCCAUAGUCGAUACACUGUAAAACGUUUCGAACAAAUUAACGUGACUAUCCCCCGACGGAUUAAUCGGUCGACUGGUGACACGAGUGGAAACCGAUAAAUUCGAGAUAAUCGUUUGUAAUUUGAAACCUUUACUCGAUGAAUCGUAAAACAGCGGACAAAUUGUUUCUUUUUUUCAUUUUUUCCUCUUUUUUCUUUUCUUUUCUUUUUUUUUUUUACCAUCACGGUUCAUACGUUGAGCGAAAAAUUUUGAAUUGCGAAUGAUUCGAUGCAAAUUCGUGUUUACCAUUGUGUCGUGCUUCGAUUACAGCUUGAAGAGAUGUCGAAUAACAAUCGUCAAGCUUCUAAACAAGUGGUUUUCAUAGAAACUAGUAAUCGUUUCUUUCAAAAAAGACUGGAAAAUUCAUUCCAGUUUCGCGCCUAUUUAUUUCAUAUAUUGUCGAUAUCGCAAAAAAUAUUAAUAUUAAUAAAUUAUAGCAAUAUAGCAAAGUCGUAAUUUAAAUUAAAAAACAUUAAUAUCAGAAAAUAUCUGAUAUUAAAUAAAAUAUGUAUUUUAAAUAAAAUACAUAUUUAAAACUGUACAUUCUACAUUUGCAUUUAAGUUUCAAACUUUUAAUUUAAAACUCUUUUUUGAAUGUAGAUUUGUGUUAAACUAUUGGUUAACAUUAGAUACCUUGUUAUAUUUGAUUGUAAUAUUAAUAUUAUAUGUAUAAUAUUAAGUAAGAUAAAGAAAUCUCUCCAUAUAUGGUAGUUGAGGAUUAGUGAAAGGAUGAAUUUACAUAUAAAUUAUGAUAUUAUUAUUAUAAAUUGAAAAUAAUUUUAACUAUAUAAUAUUUAAUCUAUGAUUCAUCAAUGAUAGAAAAAGAUUAUGAUGAAUACAUAUAUUUCAAAAAGAAAAAUCAAAAUUAUAGAGGAAAAAUAUAAUGUUGUGAUUCCCUUUGAUAGAGGAUCUUUUCGUAAUUUAUAGUAGAGAUAUCUAGCAACAAAUUAUGAAAUUUAUAUUUUUUUAUUCUUCAUUUAAAUAUAUUCAUGUUAAAUGGAAUAUAGUUGCUAUAUUAUAACUACAAGAUGAAAGUUUUUCAUGCAGAAAUAUUUAUCACAAAUUAGGAAAGUUAAAGUGCUGUGUGUUGGAAUAUAUUGUAUUUGAUAAAAAACAUUUAUAUCAUUUACAAUUUAUAUUAUAUUUUAUUAAUUUUUUCUAUUAUUAAUUUUUUUUAUUAAGUUUUUGAGAUUAAUGAAUAUUCAUAAAAUGAUAUAAAUAAAUAAAUAAUAUAUAAUAGAUAAAUAAAUAUAUAAAUAGAUGUUAGAAAAUAGUAGUAGAAUCAGAAUCAUAACAUAUUAAUUAUCCUAGGAAAUUCUGAGAAUUGUUGAUGAUUUCUUUUUCGAUUUCUCUCGUUUUACUAAAUCAAAAAACAAGAAAAAAAAACAUUUCUUCAUAUAAGUGAGAUAGAAAAUAGUAUUUUAUUUCAAAAGUUAUUUCUUUCAAGUUUUUAAAGAUAUAAAUGAUAUGGAUUAAAAAUAUUAAAAUUUGAAAUUCUGGAAAUUACGAGAAUUGAUAACUAAUUAAAAACUCAUGCAAAAAUAUUAUUUUUUAACAAAAUGUCAUAAAAUCCUUCAAUUCUUCGAUUCUCCGAUUGCAAUAUACAAAACUCGUGAAAGAUGGCGCGAUAAUCAUGAAAAUGGGACCGCGGUUCCAAACAGUUUUUUCGAAUCUAAACAAGAAAUCAGCGAACAUUAUAAUUUUUAAGAAUGCAGCUUUUCUUCUAUGAAAAAGAUGGCGCGAGGUUGCUCCUCAUCUAUUUUUUCCUUUACCAUUCAAAUUUCCAGACUGGGCAGGCUUUGUUAAAUUUCACGAACUCUCUACUUCCUCUUUAUAUCAGGUUCGAGCAAUAGUACCCUUUGUUCACCGAGCGUGCAUCGUUCCAACGAACUCGGCUUUUUCUGGAAAUUCACUGGAUAAUUAUUAUCGAACUUCUGUUCUUUGACGUAGAAGCCUCGAGAAAAGUUUUACUUCAUAAAACCUUGUCUUCUAACGACAGAUAAUACCACUUUGUUCCUUGGAAUGAAUUGAAGCGGUAAUCCAUACGAAUUGUGUGAUUUAUGGUUUAUAAAAGAGACAAAUACGCGAAUAAACACGCGAGAGGUCUCAUUCAAGUCGAGUGUGCCAAAGGUAAAACAGUCAUCACGUAAUAAAUAACAAUGGAAGAGGAUUAGCGUACCAUCCGAGUAGGGAAAAAAGGUUCGUAUUUUUGAAAGAAAUUUUUGAAAAAAAUAAGUACUACUUCUUUUUUUCAUUAAAAUUUUCAUCAUUACAUUUACAAUCGAAAGAUAAAUAAUUAAACAAAUAUGGUGAAGUCAUACAUGUAUCAAAAAUGUUCUUAUACGUGUAAAGAAAACUAUCAAGAUGAUAACUCAAAUGAAGCUGAAUCAUUUAUUUUUAAAUUAAUGAAUCUUGAUGAACUAGACGAAGAUAUUUACAUGUUUUACAAACAUAAGUAAAGAAAGAAAUAAGUGAAAGUAGAAAAACUAUCAAAUUAAACUUGCAUGGUUAGUCCAAUUUGAUACUGAUAUUUUUGAAUGUAUGUAUUGUUGAUGUAUUUUUGAAUGUAUAAAGUUUAUAUGAAUUUCAUUAUAUUCAAAUAAGUUAAGAAAUUUAUCACUUGCAUAAAAUAAAUUAAAAUUGAUUUUUGUUGAUCUUGAAUCAUAGAUCAUUAUACAUAUUUCAUUGAUCUAUUUUAAAUAUCUCAUCUCUACACCAGUCUUAUAAUGGUUGAAGGAAGUUUAACGACAACAAAUUUAAAAUAUUUUUGACAAAUACGUAAAUAAAAUAUAAAAAUUGAUAACCAAUGAAAAGAAAUAGAGGAAGAGGGGGAAAUCGAAACGGAUCAUAGAUAGAAUCGAUCGAUUAAUUCAACCUGAAGAAGUCGAUGUCCAGGUGUCCCAUUAAUUGACAUAUCGGCUGACACUCCAUUAAAGGUUAAAAAGCGAGGUUCGCGCGAAUCCUGCUCUUGCCAGCUUCCGUAUUUUCACGCGCAAACACGAUUCGCUAUUCAAUUUCAAUCCGAUUAUUUAUUUAGAUUAUUCAUUUGCUUGGCCGACCGGCCAUGCACGCGACAGAACCCCGCCUCUGAACCGUCGAAUAAUAGAAAAUCUGAAUAUUCAGAGAUCGAAAUUUGGUUAGCCCAAGCUUCGGCUAAUGCAUGAGCUCCUACUAUUCGAAUGCUUUCAGGAAGUUCCGACGACCAUCGGUUACGAAUCAAUGAAUCACAGAAUUUCAACGCUUCCGCUCUCUCUACCUUUGCAUUUUAUUCGAUUGAUAACUGUACGAGAGCAGAAAUAUUUUUCUAAGAUACUAAUUGGAUGUCUAGUUGGAUUUCUUCAUCAUAAAUUAAUCUCAAUGAAUCAAAGUUAAUAUUCCAGUUGAAAAAAUAUUGUUAUCGAAAAUUAUAUUUUAUAAUUUAUUAAUACAAGUUAUUAAUACAAAAUUUUAUAGAUAUUUUAAUUGAUUUAAAUCGAUUCAGAUUAAAUGAGUAAGAGUAGAGACAUAGAUGAUAUUUAAUUAUGAUAUUUAAUUAUGUUACAUAUAUCUUCUUUUUAAUUAAUUAAUUGUCAAAUAUUACACUAAUGACAUAUAAUCUCUCAACAGUUGGUCUAAAGAAAUUGCUAUAAAUAUAAAACUGCAGCUUAGAGGCGUGUUGUAUCAAAUAUAAUAAUGGAAGCCUAAUGUAAGCAAGAUUUGUUUAAUCCAAUCUGAUAACUAUAUCAGUUACUGCGAAUUCGAGCAAUAUUUAAUAUCAUUAAAUGACACAUUAAAGAACACAUAACAUAGGGAAAAAGAAAAUUUACACCACGAUUUUGAUGCAAGCAAUUCAAAUUAAAUUUAUUAAGCAUAAAAAUGUUGAUAAUAUGACAUUGUUGAACGUAAUUCAAUUAUGGACAAAUAAUUCGUGCACUGUAUGAACUGUAACUAAUCAGGCGUCUGCAUCGGACAUAAUAGUACUCAAUCAAAAAUAGCCUGCAAAUAUCUCUUAAUGAAACCAAUUCCAUCGACAUAAUCGCCAAAAAAUUCGACAUCAACUCCACCUCCGUUGCGUUCCACAUCCGCAACAAGAAAGAAGCUAAUGGCACAUUGGAAAUCAGACGAAUUAUUUUCGAAUGAUAUAGCCUUGAUGCCGCAGAAAAAUGCACUAAAAUCCUAUUAUGGUAAUGCGACCGCAUGGAAUGGUCCAUACCAGUUGAAGAUUUUUAUCAUUCGCAGUCCAUCGUCGCGCGAUCUUUAUUCCAUUUCAUUUUUCAAUCACUUGCAAAUUUUUAUGACGAGAAAAACUUUAAUUUUCCCUUUCCCUUGUGAGAAUUUCACCGAGAAUUUCAACACGAUGUUUGGUCGCUUGGUGUGUGCCAACCGUGGUGAAACAUUUAAUAAGAAGGACUGGAACAUUUUAUGUAAAUACACAAAUAUAAAUAAAAAUCUAAAGA